Molecule: ribosomal RNA, 254 nt
Filed under: uncultured bacterium
Lineage: Bacteria
Description: partial 16S ribosomal RNA
Rfam family: Bacterial small subunit ribosomal RNA
Source: RNAcentral
UACGGGGGGAGCAAGCGUUGUUCGGAUUUACUGGGCGUAAAGGGCGCGUAGGCGGCCACCGCAAGUCGACUGUGAAAUCUCCGGGCUUAACCCGGAAAGGUCAGCCGAUACUGCGGGGCUAGAGUGCAGAAGGGGCAACUGGAAUUCUCGGUGUAGCGGUGAAAUGCGUAGAUAUCGAGAGGAACACCUGCGGCGAAGGCGGGUUGCUGGGCCAACACUGACGCUCAUGCACGAAAGCGUGGGGAGCAAACAGG